CCAUAUAUCUUUGGCUGUAGGGAGACGAAUAAAUCAUUGCAUCAACGAUGGACUCAUUGAGUCAAUCAACCAGCUCUUGACUCUUUGAUUUUCAGUAAUCCAUGAUCCAAGAUUAGGAUCUCCAGGUGCUGGUUUCUUCGUUUCUCCAGUAAGAUAACCAGCUUUGUUGCGAGCACUAAUCCGCAUCUCCAUGAGUUGAGACCAUAAUGAGUAGUUGGUCUCAUCCAGAGUGAUUCCAGUUGGAAAUGCCGAGUUGUCUUGAUGAACAACAACUUGUGGUGCUGG
This 285-nucleotide long non-coding RNA is filed under the name Citrus sinensis (sweet orange). RNAcentral's name for it is "long non-coding RNA (CSIN_LNC005733)". The record is from RNAcentral. Lineage: Eukaryota; Viridiplantae; Streptophyta; Magnoliopsida; Sapindales; Rutaceae.